AAAAAAACAUAUAUAUCUUUACUUUUUCUCUUGAACACAGUUUCUAGGUACCCAUCUUCAGAGAGAAAUUUUAAAUGUUUGUACUUUACUGUACCUUGUUCAAGACUGAUUAUAAAUAUUUUCGUAUCUGAAUAACCUUAACUAAAACUACAGCAGAAAAUAAGAUAACUCAGAACUAAGAGAAAUUGCACACUGCUAUCAUUGUUUAUUUUGAACCUACUGUUUAAACACGGGAACAUGCUACACCGGUCAGUUUAGAGACAAAAGAUGUGCCCAAAAGAAGUUUGGAAGAUUCCAGUCCAUUCAAAACUUGGUUGAACUGGAAGCACGUAGUUUAGUCCAGUUUGUCAAGCUAACUGUGUAAGUGGGAGAUCUUUGAAUUAACUUCCACAUGGAUGUAAUGUUUAUUAGCUUACACAUAAUGAAGCAUCCUGAUUUGAAACCUGUGUGUAUAUUGAAAUCAGUCAUGGCAGUUUCUUUUCAUACUGCUAUUUACAGCACACAUAGCAUUGUGUUGGCCAGAUCUAUUCACCAUUCUUUCUCUUCUUCCAAACUCUAGGAUCCUUCAAUUUUAAGACUAGGUCAUCUUUGUGUUUCCAGGACCGAGUCUAGGGAACGACCCAUUGAGUGUGCCCAGUAAGGGUGGGAUGUGUGAAUCCAACAUGUGAAUCCUGCAGACACAAGGGCUGAAUAAAACCACAGCAGGAGGGCUGGAGGUAGCCAUCACCCAGGAGCCAGUUGGAGAAAAACCCUGCCCUUCACAAGAGACCAUCCAUAGGUGCAAAAUAACAGGCAUCUUCAGGAAGAGAAAGGACAUCUCCCCAGGCUGGGUGUUUGUACUUCCUGCUGGACGACCAUAUGUCCUGUUCUGCAUUGCAAAACACAAGACACUGCACGGUCCUAAACCCUCUUCACUUCUGCUAUAGUGACACUCCAGCGUUUUCAUGAGAAUGUUAUCUGGUCCGCAACACUCAUUAAACACUUUUAGCUUUACCUCCCACAAGCCCCUCUGUCACAUGAAUCAUCUAUUAAGCCACAGCACCUGCUGGGGUUUGGUGUGAAUGCUCAUGACUAAGUGUUCACAUAUGCUACAAAAUCUGCCUGCAAGACACUCCCAGGUGGCCAUUCUAUUUCACCCAGCUGAUUCCUGCAAGUCCUUCACAAAUGGGUCAACUAAGAUGCCCUCUUCUAGAAUGCAUUUCUUGACCUCCAGUCAGUUGAAAAUGCCCCUUCUCUGACCUUCGGAGCUUCUCAAAGUAUCUUUGUAGAUUGUUCAGGUAAGGCAUAGAUGAUUAUUUAGAACCUUGGUUUUGGAGACAGAGCAGAACUCAACUCCCGACUCUUUCACCUUGAAACUGGGUGACCUUCAUCCUGGUACCUUUUGUGUUUGUUAACUUUGUACAAAAUUGAGACAAUUACGCCUAUGUCUUUGGGAUAGUUUUAGAAUCAAAUGAGACUGUACAUGUCAAACAUAACUCAGUAUGGAUACACUCCUGGUAGGUAGGAAUUUAAAAUUUUAAUAUACCUUUAUUUCUGCUGUUUUGUUUUUUAUUGAGAUAGAGGGUAUCAUUCUGUACUACAGUUUUAAAUUAAUGUCUUUGACAUUAAACUUGAGGGUGAAGAUAAUGUCCUAUUUCAUUUUAUAUCCAAAUGUUGAGUUCACUUCACAUGUUAACAGGCACUCAAUAAGCUUCUGCUGAUUUAAUAAACACAUUAAAAUAACAAUGCUAAGCAUGAAUUUAGCCUUCUUCAUCUCUUUUUCUAAUAUAUGUUUUUAUAUCUUUAGUGACAAAAAGUAUUCACCGUCUCUGUAUGUAUAACAAAGGAGGAAGAGAAAAAACAGACACACUUUCAAAUAAUUUACAAUUCACUAGAGAAAGAAUAAAAAGCUAGAUAAAUAAUAAAAAGCUCCUGACAAACUGAUCAUUUUAUAAAAGCAGGGGAGAAGAAAGCAGGAACAUCUAAGGAAAUCUCUCAACCACUGGCAUUUUAGGAAAGUAAAAGUAUUUAUUUCAUAAGAUCCCCUUUCCAGAUAGAUAGAAGACCCUCAGAAGAAUGAAACACAUCAGCUUUUAAGUUUUAUCUAUUUAUUGAUCUUUUCCUUACAAAUACGGCUUAUUCUAGUGUGUGUGUGUGUGUGUGUAUGGUUGAAUGUGUUUAGGGUUAGAAUGUACUAUUUUGAAUAAACGACAUGAUAAAAAUUUGUUAUCUUCUAUUUGUUCUUUUUUUUUUAAUUCUAGGUUUGCUAAACUCAAGGUCACCAGGCAAGAUGUAUCAUUUACCCUCUUUAGAAAUAAAAACCUUCUUGUAAUGGGUUAGCUUUAGGCAUAAAUGAGCCAAUUAAAAUGAACUCUGUCAUGGAUGUUGCUACUUCAAUGAAGAGGAACCAAUGAACAGGAGGUCCUGGCUUCUAAUUUCUCAUGCGGGACAGACAUUUCUACGAGGGAACUGUGCCCUGGUUACAGGCUGGGGCUUCUUUAGUCUGCAUACUGCCCAUUUGGGUGAUAUUUUGACUGAAUUGGCUUGCUGGCUUUUCCUUCAGUUGGGAGCUAAUAGUGGAGUUACAGGCCUGCUUCAGUUUUCAGCCACAUAUAUCUUGAGAUCAGCUUCCAGGACAUCAAGAGAAUCCUGGCGUGAUACCAAGUGUGAAGUUUAGUAAGAUGAAUUGUUGGUGCCCUUAGCUCAUUUUCCUCCUAAGAUUCUCCUAAUAAAUAUGUUCAGAAUUUAAGUCCAUGAAUGCUAUUAAAGAUUCAAUUUGCUGAUGUGACAGAAUUAGGAUUGGGGUGAAAUGUUUUCCUUGCCUAAUUUCUUUAGCUGGCUGAAAAACUAUAUGGAAAAAUGGCUGACAUUUUGGGUGAUAUUUCCACAUCUCCUCUGGUUUGUAUAAUGUGUUAUGCUUUGCAAAAAUAUUUUCUCUUGCUCUAGUUU
This 2928-nucleotide long non-coding RNA is filed under the name Sus scrofa (pig). RNAcentral describes it as "lncRNA (ENSSSCG00040059498.1)". The record is from RNAcentral. Lineage: Eukaryota; Metazoa; Chordata; Mammalia; Artiodactyla; Suidae.